AUUGGGCGUAAGAGCUCGUAGGCGGUUUGUCGCGUCUGCUGUGAAAUCCCGAGGCUCAACCUCGGGCCUGCAGUGGGUACGGGCAGACUAGAGUGCGGUAGGGGAGAUUGGAAUUCCUGGUGUAGCGGUGGAAUGCGCAGAUAUCAGGAGGAACACCGAUGGCGAAGGCAGAUCUCUGGGCCGUAACUGACGCUGAGGAGCGAAAGGGUGGGGAGCAAACAGGCUUAGAUACCCUGGUAGUCCACCCCGUAAACGUUGGGAACUAGUUGUGGGGACCAUUCCACGGUUUCCGUGACGCAGCUAACGCAUUAAGUUCCCCGCCUGGGGAGUACGGCCGCAAGGCUAAAACUCAAAGGAAUUGACGGGGACCCGCACAAGCGGCGGAGCAUGCGGAUUAAUUCGAUGCAACGCGAAGAACCUUACCAAGGCUUGACAUAUACGAGAACGGGCCAGAAAUGGUCAACUCUUUGGACACUCGUAAACAGGUGGUGCAUGGUUGUCGUCAGCUCGUGUCGUGAGAUGUUGGGUUAAGUCCCGCAACGAGCGCAACCCUCGUUCUAUGUUGCCAGCACGUAAUGGUGGGAACUCAUGGGAUACUGCCGGGGUCAACUCGGAGGAAGGUGGGGAUGACGUCAAAUCAUCAUGCCCCUUAUGUCUUGGGCUUCACGCAUGCUACAAUGGCCGGUACAAAGGGCUGCAAUACCGUGAGGUGGAGCGAAUCCCAAAAAGCCGGUCCCAGUUCGGAUUGAGGUCUGCAACUCGACCUCAUGAAGUCGGAGUCGCUAGUAAUCGCAGAUCAGCAACGCUGCGGUGAAUACGUUCCCGGGUCUUGUACACACCGCCCGUCAAGUCAUGAAAGUCGGUAACACCUGAAGCCGGUGGCCCAACCCUUGUGGAGGGAGCCGUCGAAGUGGGAUCGGUAAUUAGGACGAAGUCGUACAGAG
This 944-nucleotide ribosomal RNA is filed under the name Microbacterium sp. Its description in RNAcentral is "bacterial SSU rRNA". It matches the Rfam family "Bacterial small subunit ribosomal RNA", at positions 553 to 1496 of the family's 1533-position model. Lineage: Bacteria; Bacillati; Actinomycetota; Actinomycetes; Micrococcales; Microbacteriaceae. The record is from RNAcentral.